RNAcentral lists this ribosomal RNA (418 nucleotides) under uncultured bacterium. RNAcentral's name for it is "partial 16S ribosomal RNA". It matches the Rfam family "Bacterial small subunit ribosomal RNA", at positions 363 to 773 of the family's 1533-position model. The record is from RNAcentral.
AUUGGACAAUGGGGGUAACCCUGAAUCAGCCAUGCCGCGUGUGUGAGGAAGGUCUUCGGAUAUUAAAGCACUUCACGUCGGGAGGAAGGGCAGUAAGUUAAUCCCUUGCUGUUUCGACGUUACCGACACACUAAGUACCGGCUAACUUCCUGCCAGCAUCCGCGGUAAUACGAAAGGUCAAAGCGUUAACUGGAAUUACUGGGCGUAAAGCGCGCGUAAGUAGUUUGUUAAGUUGGAAGUGAGAGCCCCGGGCUCAAACUGGGAACUGCUUUCAAAACUGGCAAGCUAAAGUAUGGCAGAGGGUGGUGGAAUUUCCUGUGUAGCGGUGAAAUGCGUAGAUAUAGGAAGGAACACCAGUGGCGAAGGCGACCACCUGGGCUAAUACUGACACUGAGGUGCGAAAGCGUGGGGAGCAAAC